RNAcentral lists this long non-coding RNA (554 nucleotides) under Vulpes vulpes (red fox). Its description in RNAcentral is "lncRNA (ENSVVUG00000007125.1)". The record is from RNAcentral. Lineage: Eukaryota; Metazoa; Chordata; Mammalia; Carnivora; Canidae.
GGAAGACUCUGAACCGGUGAGAGAAAAGGAAGCCAACUGUCUUGGGACCUAGUCCUCAGGAAGUGUCCUUGGGCACAGAUGAGAUAAAGACACAGAGCACAGAAAGAGGUUACUUUCUCUGGCUUGGGGACCAGGAAGGGAAGCAUGCUCAUGCAUUGUAGCAAGUCCUGGAAGAGAAGAAAACUCAGGCUGCUGAAAUCAGCUUGCUCUUUGGUAUCAAAAGGGCAGCUCCAUCGUCGGAAGUCUGAGCGCCUUCAUUUUCUGGCUUAUCCUCCACAAACCAGGACCAAUGCCAUGAUAUGGGUUCUUAGGAAAACUGCACUGAAGAAGGAAAAGGAAGGAAAGAUGGAGUCAGAUUAGCCGGGACUGUGGAUGGUGAUGAACCUCAACCGGAGUCGUUCUGUGCAACUGAAUGAUGGCCACGUCAUGCCGAUGCUUGGGUUUGGUACUCCUGCUUCUGAUGAUAUAGGUAGAACCCAGGGGACCAGAGGGUUGGCCAUGAACAGCCUUGGGAGGGUGGUCAGCAGACAUACACCCCUCAUGCACCCUGGGUG